GUGGUUUGUCGCGUUGUUCGUGAAAACCGGGGGCUUAACUCUCGGCGUGCGGGCGAUACGGGCAGACUGGAGUACUGCAGGGGAGACUGGAAUUCCUGGUGUAGCGGUGGAAUGCGCAGAUAUCAGGAGGAACACCGGUGGCGAAGGCGGGUCUCUGGGCAGUAACUGACGCUGAGGAGCGAAAGCGUGGGGAGCGAACAGGAUUAGAUACCCUGGUAGUCCACUCCGUAAACGGUGGGUACUAGGUGUGGGUUUCCUUCCUUGGGAUCCGUGCUGUAGCUUACGCAUUAAGUACCCCGCCUGGGGAGUACGGCCGCAAGGCUCUAACUCAAAGGAAUUGACGGGUGCCCGCACAAGCGGCUGAGCAUGUGGAUUAAUUCGAUGCGACGCGAAGAACCUUACCUGGGUUUGACAUGCACAGGACGCGUCCAGAGAUAGGCGUUCCCUUGUGGCCUGUGUGCAGGUGGUGCAUGGCUGUCGUCAGCUCGUGUCGUGAGAUGUUGGGUUAAGUCCCGCAACGAGCGCAACCCUUGUCUCAUGUUGCCAGCACGUGAUGGUGGGGACUCGUGAGAGACUGCCGGGGUCAACUCGGAGGAAGGUGGGGAUGACGUCAAGUCAUCAUGCCCCUUAUGUCCAGGGCUUCACACAUGCUACAAUGGCCGGUACAAAGGGCUGCGAUGCCGUGAGGUGGAGCGAAUCCUUGUUAAAGCCGGUCUCAGUUCGGAUCGGGGUCUGCAA
This 738-nucleotide ribosomal RNA is filed under the name uncultured Mycobacterium sp. Its description in RNAcentral is "bacterial SSU rRNA". It matches the Rfam family "Bacterial small subunit ribosomal RNA", at positions 575 to 1310 of the family's 1533-position model. Lineage: Bacteria; Bacillati; Actinomycetota; Actinomycetes; Mycobacteriales; Mycobacteriaceae. The record is from RNAcentral.